UACAGAGGGGGCAAGCGUUAUUCGGAAUUAUUGGGCGUAAAGGGCGCGUAGGCGGCUUGGCAAGUGGAUGGUGAAAUCCCUCGGCUUAACCGAGGAACUGCCGCCCAAACUGCUUCGCUUGAGACCGGGAGAGGUGAGUGGAAUUCCCAGUGUAGCGGUGAAAUGCGUAGAUAUUGGGAGGAACACCAGUGGCGAAGGCGGCUCACUGGACCGGUACUGACGCUGAUGCGCGAAAGCGUGGGGAGCAAACGGG
RNAcentral lists this ribosomal RNA (253 nucleotides) under uncultured bacterium. RNAcentral's name for it is "partial 16S ribosomal RNA". It matches the Rfam family "Bacterial small subunit ribosomal RNA", at positions 524 to 776 of the family's 1533-position model. The record is from RNAcentral.